UACGUAGGGGGCAAGCGUUGUCCGGAGUUACUGGGCGUAAAGCGCCCGCAGGCGGUCGCGUCAGUUCGCGGUGACAGCGCUCGGCUUAACCGAGCGAGGACCGAGAAGACGGCGUGACUUGAGGGCCAGAGAGGGACAUGGAACUCCGGGUGGAGUGGUGAAAUGCGUAGAGAUCCGGAAGAACACCAAAGGCGAAGGCAGUGUCCUGGCUGGCACCUGACGCUCGGGGGCGAAAGCGAGGGGAGCGAACGGGAUUAGAUACCCCGGUAGUCCUCGCCGUAAACGAUGACCACUAGGUGUGGGAGGGAUCGACCCCUUCCGUGCCGGCGUUAACGCACUAAGUGGUCCGCCUGGGGAGUACGGUCGCAAGAUUAAA
This 376-nucleotide ribosomal RNA is filed under the name uncultured bacterium. RNAcentral's name for it is "bacterial SSU rRNA". It matches the Rfam family "Bacterial small subunit ribosomal RNA", at positions 524 to 898 of the family's 1533-position model. The record is from RNAcentral.